This is a long non-coding RNA of Oncorhynchus keta (chum salmon), 341 nucleotides long. RefSeq lists it as uncharacterized. NCBI's taxonomy places the organism in Eukaryota, Metazoa, Chordata, Actinopteri, Salmoniformes, Salmonidae. The record is from RefSeq and is a predicted model, not a curated record. The transcript is spliced from 3 exons.
UGGAGACAGAUCAAAUAGCUGAAGAGGAAGUGGAGGACAGAUGGAUUAGGAGCUAGGCCUGUCCGGAUGCUCUAGUGAGAGUGGCAUGCCUGCCUCCAGUGUGGGUGGUGGUGGAGAAGAGGUAUAAAAAGCAGCAGCAGUGAACACAUCCCCUCGCUCUACGAGGACUCCAGGCCGGUGGUGGUUGGCCUGCUCCAGGAGUCUGAGGUACGGGAGGUUCCUCCGCCCCCUCUGGACAUCGAGGUGGCCCCGGCGUACUCCGUCCGCUCCAUACUGAAUUCGAGGCGUCAGACGAGGGGCCUUCAGUACCUCGUGGAGUGGGAGGGGUACGGUCCGGAGGG